Molecule: ribosomal RNA, 2564 nt
Filed under: marine sediment metagenome
Description: bacterial LSU rRNA
Rfam family: Bacterial large subunit ribosomal RNA
Source: RNAcentral
GCAGUAUAAGUGAAACCCAGGGAACUGAACCAUCUAAGUACCUGGAGGAAAAGAAAUCAACAUGAGAUUCCCUUAGUAGCGGCGAGCGAAAGGGGAAGAGCCUAAACCCGCUUUAUGUAGAAGGCUUACACUGUUGUAGAGUGGGGGUUGCAGGGCUGCAUCUGGCUGGAUGUAAGGCUGGCCGCAGAGUUAAAAAACUCAAGUUAUAGUGGAAUGCUACUGGGAAGGGCAACCGGAGAGGGUGAAAGUCCCGUACACGAAAUGAUUUGAGACUCUGUGGGUGCGGAACCUAAGUACCGUGGGACACGAGAAAUCCUGCGGGAAUCUGGGAGGACCACCUUCCAAGGCUAAAUACGUGAUAGCUACCGAUAGUGAAGAAGUACCGUGAGGGAAAGGUGAAAAGAACCCCGGGAGGGGAGUGAAAUAGAACCUGAAACCGUAGACUUACAAGCGGUCAUAGUCCGGCUUCGGCUGGAUGAUGGCGUGCCUUUUGUAGAAUGAGCCUGCGAGUUACUGUGCGUAGCGAGGUUAAGGCAUAGUAGUGCCGGAGCCGUAGGGAAACCGAGUCUUAAUCAGGGCGAAUUAGUUACGUGUAGUAGACCCGAAGCCGAGUGAUCUAUCCAUGUCCAGGCUGAAGCUUGAGUAAAAUCAAGUGGAGGGCCGAACGGUAGUCUGAUGAAAAAGGCACCGAUGAGGUGUGGAUAGGAGUGAAAGGCUAAACAAACCCGGAGAUAGCUGGUACUCCCCGAAAUGGCUUUAGGGUCAGCCUUAAAGAUAAGUGUUGCGGAGGUAGAGCACUGGAUGGACUAGGGCCCUUCACCGGGUACCAAACCCAACCAAACUCCGAAUGCCGUAACAUGUUCUUUGGGAGUGAGACUACGGGCGAUAAGGUUCGUGGUCGAGAGGGAAACAGCCCAGACCGUCAGCUAAGGUCUCAAAGCUUGCGCUAAGUGGUAAAGGAAGUGUGAUUGCAAGGACAGCCAGGAGGUUGGCUUAGAAGCAGCCAUACCUUAAAAGAGUGCGUAACAGCUCACUGGUCGAGUAGUCAUGCGCCGACAAUGUAACGGGGCUAAGCUUGAUACCGAAGCUACGGAUUAUUGAUUUUAAUUGAUAGUGGUAGGGGAGCGUUCUGUGUACUGACGAAGGUGCACUGUGAGGUGUGCUGGAGGUAUCGGAAGUGAGAAUGCAGGCAUGAGUAACGAAAAGACGGGUGAAAAACCCGUUCGCCGAAAACCUAAGGUUUCCUGGGUAAAGGUAAUCUGCCCAGGGUUAGUCGGCCCCUAAGGCGAGGCCGAAAAGCGUAGUCGAUGGGAAACUGGUUCAUAUUCCAGUACCUCUGAUAGCAGAUGCUGAUGGGAUGACGCGUGAGGCAAAGCGCAGCCGGAGAAUGGUAGUUUCGGUCUAAGCAGUUAGCCGUUGAUGCUUGCAGGAAAAUCCGCAAGUUUGAGGUGAGCUGUUAAGGCGAGUUGGUCAUUACGGUGGCUAACGAAGUGUGUGGAGUCAAGGCGCCAAGAAAUAAUCUCUAAGGGGUAGCUAUCAGGGACCGUACCGUAAACCGACACAGGUAGUUGGGAUGAGUAUUCUAAGGCGCUCGAGAGAACCCGCGUUAAGGAACUCGGCAAAAUACAUACGUAACUUCGGGAGAAGUAUGGCCUUUAAUGGGGGAAGGUAGUGAUAUCGGAACUUGUUGGAGGCCGCAGAGAAUAGGCCCAGGCGACUGUUUAUCAAAAACACAGGUCUCUGCUAAUCUGCAAAGAGAAGUAUAGGGACUGACACCUGCCCGGUGCUGGAAGGUUAAGAGGAGAUGUUAGUGCAGCUUGCUGCACGAAGCUUUGAAUUGAAGCCCCAGUAAACGGCGGCCGUAACUAUAACGGUCCUAAGGUAGCGAAAUUCCUUGUCGGGUAAGUUCCGACCUGCACGAAUGGUGUAACGAUCUGGGCGCUGUCUCGACGCGAGACUCGGUGAAAUUGAAGUAUCGGUGAAGAUGCCGAUUACCCACGGUUAGACGGAAAGACCCCGUGAACCUUUACUGCAGCUUGGCAUUGGAACCUGGGCUAUGAUGUGUAGGAUAGGUGGGAAGCUAUGAAGCGUGGUCGUUAGGCUGCGUGGAGCUGAACAGUGAAAUACCACCCUUUAUAGUUUAGGUUUCUAACGCUGGCCUUAUAUCAGGUUAGUGGACAAUGCCAGGUGGGCGGUUUGACUGGGGCGGUCACCUCCUAAAGAGUAACGGAGGUGUGCGAAGGUCUCCUCGCGCUGGUUGGAAAUCAGCGUUACGAGUGCAAAGGCAAAAGGGGGCCUGACUGCGAGACUGACAAGUCGAGCAGGUGCGAAAGCAGGUCUUAGUGAUCUGGCGGUGGCGAGUGGAAGCGCCGUCACUUAACGGACAAAAGGUACUCCGGGGAUAACAGGCUUAUCUUGCCCAAGAGUUCACAUCGACGGCAAGGUUUGGCACCUCGAUGUCGGCUCAUCGCAUCCUGGGGCUGGAGCAGGUCCCAAGGGUUUGGCUGUUCGCCAAUUAAAGCGGUACGUGAGCUGGGUUCAGAACGUCGUGAGACAGUUCGGUC